Molecule: long non-coding RNA, 398 nt
Organism: Brassica napus (rape)
Lineage: Eukaryota; Viridiplantae; Streptophyta; Magnoliopsida; Brassicales; Brassicaceae
Exons: 2
Source: RefSeq, a predicted model, not a curated record
CGCAAGGACGCGAUGUUUGCCGACGUGAACUGUAGAACGACGCCGUAGCAGAAUUUCGCUGCGAGCUCAAAGGCCUCUGACCCGCCGGGAACUCCGGGUAGGUUGAGGUGGUAAGUGUUCUUCGUGUCUUUUGAUUCAAGAAGAAGCUUCCUGAUUCUUCCACUCCGAGAGACGAGAGGAAACUGAAAACAAAAACAGAGACAAUGAGCCGACUUCUAUGGUCAAGUCACUCGUAACGUCCGAGACCGGCCUGGAAACACAUACACAAUUUUUUGAGGACCCAUAAGCCAACAACGUUAAACUCAUUCUUGUCUAAAAGAAAGAAAGUAAAAGAGAUUAGUACCAUUGAGGAGUGUGUCUGAUGCUUGAACUUGGGCGAAAUGCUUUUUUGCCAGAAA